RNAcentral lists this ribosomal RNA (330 nucleotides) under Triticum aestivum (bread wheat). Its description in RNAcentral is "partial small subunit ribosomal RNA". Lineage: Eukaryota; Viridiplantae; Streptophyta; Magnoliopsida; Poales; Poaceae. The record is from RNAcentral.
AUGCAACAUCUGCUCGUGGAAUGCCCAUUCUCGCGACAAAUCUGGCAUGAAGUCCUAUCUUGGUGCCGGACGGCGAUUUCUUCACCUGUUGCUGAUGACAACUUCAUUGAGUAGUGGGCGGAUUCUCAUGGUGCGUCACCAAAUAACCAGCGGCAGGGCAUCUCAUCCAUAAUAAUGCUCACGACUUGGCUCCUCUAGAACGCACGGAAUGCUUGUAUUUUCCAUGCUAAGCAGCCAUCGAUCACGCGGCUUACCAACAACAUUCGUGAGGAGGCCAAGAACUGGGCUGCCGCUGGUGCAACCGGGUGCUUGUCGCCAGCCGUCGUGUAA